GAUGAACGCUGGCGGCGUGCCUAAUACAUGCAAGUCGAGCGAACAGAUGAGGAGCUUGCUCCUCUGACGUUAGCGGCGGGCGGGUGAGUCACACGUGGAUCCCCUACCUAUAAGACUGAGAUAACUUCGGGACACCGGAUCUAAUACCGGAUAAUAUAUUGCACCGCAUGGUUCGAUAGUGAGAGACGGUUUUUCUGUCACUACUAGAUGGAUACGGGCCGCAUUAGCUGGUUGGUAAGGUAACGGCCUACCACGGCGACGAUGCGUAGCCGACCUGAGGGGGGGAUCGGCCACACGGGAACUGAGACACGGACCAGACUCCUACGGGAGGGAGCAGUAGGGAAUCGGCCGCAAUGGGCGAAAGCCUGACGGAGCAACGCCGCGUGAGUGAUGAAGGUCUUCGGAUCGUAAAGCUCUGUUAUUAGGGAAGAACAAAUGUGUAAGUAACUAUGCCCGUCUUGACGGUACCUAGUCAGAAAGCCACGGCUAACUACGUG
Molecule: ribosomal RNA, 497 nt
Filed under: uncultured bacterium
Lineage: Bacteria
Description: partial 16S ribosomal RNA
Rfam family: Bacterial small subunit ribosomal RNA
Source: RNAcentral